GAUAAACGCUAGCGGCAGGCCUAACACAUGCAAGUCGAGGGAGAAGCCCUUUCGGGGGCAGAAACCGGCGCACGGGUGCGUAACGCGUAUGCAACCUACCUUUCACAGGGGGAUAGCCCGAAGAAAUUUGGAUUAAUACCCCAUAAUAUUAUUGGAUGGCAUCAUUUGAUAAUUAAAACUGCGGUGGUGAAAGAUGGGCAUGCGUCCUAUUAGCUAGUUGGAGUGGUAACGGCACCCCAAGGCUACGAUAGGUAGGGGUCCUGAGAGGGAGAUCCCCCACACUGGUACUGAGACAGGGACCAGACUCCUACGGGAGGCAGCAGUGAGGAAUAUUGGUCAAUGGUCGGAAGACUGAACCAGCCAUGCCGCGUGCAGGAAGAAUGCCUUAUGGGUUGUAAACUGCUUUUAUAUGGGAAGAAUAAGGCGUACGUGUACGUUGAUGACGGUACCAUAUGAAUAAGCAUCGGCUAACUCCGUG
This 478-nucleotide ribosomal RNA is filed under the name uncultured bacterium. RNAcentral's name for it is "partial 16S ribosomal RNA". It matches the Rfam family "Bacterial small subunit ribosomal RNA", at positions 28 to 507 of the family's 1533-position model. The record is from RNAcentral.